UACGUAGGGUGCAAGCGUUGUCCGGAAUUAUUGGGCGUAAAGAGCUUGUAGGCGGUUUGUCGCGUCUGCUGUGAAAUUUCGGGGCUCAACCUCGAACUUGCAGUGGGUACGGGCAGACUAGAGUGUGGUAGGGGAGACUGGAAUUCCUGGUGUAGCGGUGAAAUGCGCAGAUAUCAGGAGGAACACCGAUGGCGAAGGCAGGUCUCUGGGCCAUAACUGACGCUGAGGAGCGAAAGCAUGGGGAGCGAACAGG
RNAcentral lists this ribosomal RNA (253 nucleotides) under uncultured bacterium. RNAcentral describes it as "partial 16S ribosomal RNA". It matches the Rfam family "Bacterial small subunit ribosomal RNA", at positions 524 to 776 of the family's 1533-position model. The record is from RNAcentral.